This 381-nucleotide ribosomal RNA is filed under the name Triticum aestivum (bread wheat). Its description in RNAcentral is "partial small subunit ribosomal RNA". Lineage: Eukaryota; Viridiplantae; Streptophyta; Magnoliopsida; Poales; Poaceae. The record is from RNAcentral.
GGUGUGAGCUCGAUCGUGGCGGCGAUAUGCUACGCGUGGAUGCAGUCGGGCAAGGCAGACGGCCAGGCGGCAGCGGUGCCGGUGGUGAACAUGCGCCGAAGCAGGAUGGCGGGGUGCAGGCAGGCGGCCUGGCUCCUCUACCACGUCGGGGUCGACGCCUCGGCCCUGCUCUUCGCCGAUGAGGUAGGCCAUGCUUUGCAACCAUGGUGCCUGAUUGUACUUAGAUGGCCAGCAUGGGAUUCGUCUCUGACAAACCGGACAACUGUCUAUGUCCCGUUCCAGAGUUAUUGGGCAUUUAUAAUUUGGGCAGAGGCGACAAGGAUGAUGAGGCCAUACAGCAAUUCAUCGCAGUCGUGUGCCCUGCCAUGUGGGUGUUCUUAA